CUGUGAAAGGGUCGUUCAACCCCCAAAGGGGUCGCGACCCACAGGUUGAGAACCGCUGCUAGCAAGAUGCUCCCUAAAGCUGAGGCUCCACCCCAGGACACCUCCCCUGCCCCAGAGGCACCAUUCCCACCUUGGCUCUCAGAGAUGCUAACGGCCCUUCUGCAACAGCUGCUGAGAGCAGCACAGUCAAUACUCAAGUACAGGAUUGGAAGUGGAGGGGGGUGCAUCACAUUCCUCCUGCUGCAAAGGCUGUGCCUGCCCCACACAUUUCCCAGCAUCCACAGCAGCUCAUCUCCUGAGGCACAACAGAGUCAGGGCAACGAGGCCUCAAGUCUGGGAACUACUGUGUGAGUUCAGGCCAGUCACCAACACUCCGGGCCCACCUUCCCUUCUAUUAACAGGUAAGCCAGCUCAUCUCCUCUCAGGCUGCCUAUACCUAACUCUCAUAUACCCAGCUUUGGCUUCAGACCUCAGCAGAGUUGGUUGGGCAUAGUUCCUACCACUCUGAGUUGAAAGGCAGUGAAGCACUCACUCCUACUCUCAUGCAUUUCAGGAGCAAGGGAUGGGACCAGGUGGUGAGAGAACAGUAUCUGGAGGCAAGAGGACUCACCACCUGAAGAUUCACCCCCUCCAAGCAGGGGGACCACCUGUGGACCCAGCUCAGGGGAGGGAUCACUCCUAAAAGUUUCAGCGAGGGCCAGGCAGACCUAGGCAUGGGGCGGCCCCAGGAAGAGAACCCACUCAGAGGCAGGAGCCUGCUAGGCAAUCUUUAGCUAGAAGAGCAGACAGAAUGUGGUAGCUUUCGUGUCAGCAGCAAAUGUUCUAGCUGAGCAUUUAACCAAAUCGUCCAAACACCUGAAACUGAGGCCAGGGGAGUCAUCCAGCUUCCCCAUGGGUCAUACGCCGAGGGCAGCUGUUGCUAUAAAGCCCAGCAGCGUGCUCCUGCCCUUUCACGCGCCUGGCCCUUGCUCUCCUGGACCCGAAGCAGAGAUGACGUCCGGGGAUGACACUGGCCUCUGCAGCCAGGGCCUCCCCUGCCACCACCUGACUGAACUGACAGACCAUCGGGAUGAGACGAUUCCAGGGGUGCUCAGCUAAGAAGGAACCGGGAAAUCACUGGGAGCCAGGGACGACGACUCAGGGCUCCAGAACUCAUCGCUGCUUUCACCAGAGUAGCUCUGCUCUUAUGUGUUAGAUCUGGGGUCCCUGCAUUAACAAAGGUCUGGCUAAACGUUUUCAGCUUCUGUUCUAAUCCAAUCGCUUCAAUGAUAGGGAAAGAAGCUGCGAGUUGCCGCCCAUCAGAAAGAGGCCUGAAGUUCUCUGCUGGCCUGCUCCACGGCUCAACUGGGCACAGCACACCCCCCCCUGGAAACAUCUCUCGGGAGGCAGCUCACAGCAAAACCUCCAGGAACAACUAACAGAAGUAUUCCUGCCCACAUAUUAGCAGACAGAAGAAAGUUUUUAAUGUAUCCUCCUUAAAGUUCAGUAUUCCCUUAGGAACUUGAUUCACUUACUUUUCACUUAUUUAGUUUUAAAACUACACACUAUCCUGGUUUUGCUCUGUUAUAAGCAAUGUUCAGAACGUGACACAUUCGUACUGACUCCUAUGUCUGUACAUUUCUCAAGUCCAGUCACCUAUGUCUUGCAAACAUCGGGCACCUCCUCUCACUUGCCAACAUCAACCUGAGGGAUAAGGAGAAAAGCCCAGGCCCGAGUAACCUCUACUCCCAGGACACCACACACAUCAUGACAGGCAGCACAGAGAAAGGCCAGCGCCUGGCUCCAUCGCAGUUACCCUGUGACCUUGCCAGUGGCCUCCCUCAAGGUCCGGGUCCUCCCUCCAGGUUUGCAUGAGGCGCAGGGCCAUCUCAGGCUGCCCCCCGGAGACUCAGCUACGAGGACCGGCCUGAGCACACCUGCUCGUGCAUCAGACUUCUCCGGAGGCUGCUGAACUGCCUUCGCCCACUCCGCGCUGCUGUCCACCCACACGUCCCAGGUCGGAGCAGAAGCGACAUCGGAACCUGGCUGUGUAACUCCAGCUCUUCUCCCACAGGAUGGCGGGAACCCAAUAACGCAACCUUGAUACUUUUUUGUGUGAAAUUUAUUGUUUCCACAUUAAAAGAUUUGUUGGAGGGGAAGUACUUUCUCUUUUUUUUUUUUAACCACAUGAUGAUUCUAUACAGUUGCCCAGAGUAGGACACCAUCGUAAGUCAUUAACAUGCCGUAUGAGUUCUGAAUAAAUAAAAGCUACAAAGCCCAAGUUAUUUACAAAUAUCUUGGGCAAUAAUGUUUACAAACCUAUGUACAAAAAAACAAAUGUAAACAGUAAAUGCAGCAUGAGAGUAAUCAAAGGAUGCACAGGGACAACCACUUGGGGUCAGUCUGCCCCCCAGGAGCUGGCACCAGCCAGCCCCCGGCAUCAGGCCACUCAGUCCUUCCUAACACAACUGGAGAGGCCCGCAGAACAAAACCAAAAAGCUGUGAAGCUGUCAUUUAACUGAAGGACCAGAAAGCUGGUAGGCGCUGCCACCACCUCCACCCCUCGUCUGAGGCACACGGAGGAGAAGACAGCAGAGGCCCAGCUGUCUGUCCCAGGCCCCACAGGCUCCUGCUCUGGGAGGCCAAGCUGUGGAAUGCUAACUGCUGAAGUAAAAUCACAAGGCGCAGUAAUGAGACUGGAGAACUCAGUGGUCCUAGGGUAAUGAGACUGUUCCCUAAUUCAGUGACCUUCCUGACUGUCUGCCAGCAACAGGCCCAGCUGUGUGGGGUGGAGCUGGGGACAAACACAUGAUCAUGAGCACAAAGGUGCUUGGGUGGGAGCUCAGGAGGGCACACGUUGACCUGAUUUGGGAGAGAACGUCUAAAAGAUUUGCAAUGUCCUAAAUA
This is a long non-coding RNA of Myotis brandtii (Brandt's bat), 2886 nucleotides long. RefSeq lists it as uncharacterized. The transcript is spliced from 2 exons. Lineage: Eukaryota; Metazoa; Chordata; Mammalia; Chiroptera; Vespertilionidae. The record is from RefSeq and is a predicted model, not a curated record.